UGCUCUGUCGCCCAGGCUGGAGUGCAGUGGCGUGAUGUCGGCUCACUGCAAGCUCCGCCUCCCGGGUUCACGCCAUUCUCCUGCUUCAGCCUCCUGAGUAGCUGGGGCUACAGGCGCCCGCCACCACGCCCGGCUAAUUUGUUUGAAUUUCUCAUUGUGAAGCAACUACAAUAUCUACUUUUUAAAAAUAUUAUUUAUUUAUUUAUUUUUUUGAGACGGAGUCUCACUCUGUCGCCCAGGCUGGAGUGCAGUGGCGCAGUCUCGGCUCACUGCAAGCUCCACCUCCUGGGUUCACGCCAUUCUCCUGCCUCAGCCUCCAAAGUAAUGAGGGCUGGAUGGAUAUGAUCAGAUGAGUGCCCAAAGAAGAGACACCAGAGAGCUAGCUUCUUCUUUCUCUUUCCACCUUUACACACUGAGAAAAGGCCAAGUGAGCACACACCAAGAAGGCAGCCAUCUGCAAACCCAAGGAGAGAGUCCUCACUAGACACCCUGCUGGUACCUUGAUCUUGGACUUCUAGCCUCCAGAAUUGCAGAGACAGAAGCCUUGGUGUGGG
Molecule: long non-coding RNA, 554 nt
Filed under: Homo sapiens (human)
Lineage: Eukaryota; Metazoa; Chordata; Mammalia; Primates; Hominidae
Description: non-protein coding lnc-ERI1-32:22
Source: RNAcentral